AAUUAGAAGUAGAUUCUCUUGUCUCAGGGGAGGCGUCUGCACCGCUUUGUAGAGACUGCAAUGCACUUUCUCGAAGCCGUUUCACCCAUUUACAUGCCCCGAGCAGCGAGUGUGAGUUCCAGCUGCUCUGUCCUCAUCAACACUGGGUAUUGUCCCUCCUGUUCAUGUGGCCUUGGGGUUACCGCAAUUUUAAGGAGUUGUUGGCAUGGAAGUUUACAGCAGGAGAAUGUCAGCAACGCUCACAGCCGUCGCCCUGGGGCUGAGAGUCUCAGGAAAGGGACUGCGGGAGGAACGCUGCCAGCAGGAAUGGGCUCCUGGAAAAUGACAUUUCUAACCACAAUUUUGCAAAGUAGCGGCACUGUUUCAUGGUUGCGGUUAACGCGCUGAGAGCGCAGUUGCCCAUACAGAGUGCCCGGGUCAUGGGAGGCAUCAGUGUUUGCCGAAAUCAGAAGAGCUAUUGCAGAAUCCCCUGUGGCCCAGCAGAAACAAAUCCUUCUAGUAUCCAUGAGGGUGUGGGUUCUAUCCCUGGCCUCGCUCAGUGUGUUAAGGAUCCGGCAAUGGCACAAGCUGUGGUCACGGAUGUGGCUCGGUCAGAUCUGCUAUUGCUGUGGCUGUGGUGUAGGCCGGCAGCUGUAGCUCCGAUUCGACCCCUAGCCUGGGAACCUCCAUAUGCCGCGGCAGAAGGAAUAAGUUAAGAAAAAGGUGUUAGCUUGAAAUUUAUAAGGCAGCAUGCUGGGUUUGCCAGUAAGAGAAAACCCAAUUGCUCAGCCAGACUUUGAAAAAUAUUAUUUUUCAACAUCUGAGUGAAAACAGAUGUUGUUUCCUGUUACAGCAACGAGCUAUACAUGCUCUGACGUCCACCAGCGCCAGGCCGUUCUUUCUCCCUCCAGGAGCACAAGGCAAGUGACAAUGAGCAGAACUCCAGCUUUGUCCUCCUCUGUCAUUUGCCUGGUGACAAGCGGGCGGGACGACGGCUCCCCUACGGGACGAAAUUUCAUCACGGCGGCCCUCCUCCUCACCUGCACAGCUGGCCAUGUCAGGCCUGUGCAUCCUGGCUGGGGACCGCUGACAGUGGGGACUUUCUUUUUCACUGGGUGCGGGGGUUGGAUUGCUGGCUGACUGUCUGACGGCUUUUUCCUCAGUCCCCACUGAUUGGGUUUUUCCAGCUUUGAAAGUGGGCUUUGCCUCCUCGCCCAGGCAAACAGUAAUUUAUGCUGGGACUACAGGUGGGCAUACGACAGACUCGUCCUUUCAAUCACCUGCAGCUUCCGGCGGGGCCGUCACCGGACAGCGUACCUGGCCUCACCCUGCCGCCACUGCCCGGGGUUCUCUGUACCUGCCCUUUUCUUCCUUCCAGGACCCCCCACCCCACCCCCGCAGCCCGCCGCAGCUGACACCUGCUCACAUUGCCCCUCCAUCAUGUGGACUCAGUCACGCCUUCCAAAGGGUCUUCAUCCAGCAUUAGAUUUCUUUGACACCUUAAUAAGCCACCCUGUAAUAAACCACACACACAAAACACUACUACUCACUCUGCUUUGGCAGCCCGAGCUAUUGUUUUGCUUGACUUGUGAAGAAUUAGACCCAAGGAAGCCGCUGGUCUUUUCAGGCAUUGCUAAGCGCACAGUGAUGCCUGGCGGGCUCUCACACGUCAGCAGGGACCACAGGACCCGGCACCUGCUGGGACAGAGCAAUGGGACAGAGGGACGGUCGGAAGGCAGGAAGGUGCACUGGCGGGGAGCCCCGAACCCUGGACGGGCUCAGGCCCAUGCCAGGGUUCAGGCCCAGAGGAUCGCUGGUGCUCCUCUGAAGCCGUGGGCCCACCGGGCAGCCCGCGGGAGCCCUGCAACCCGGGAGAGCCAGCCACGUUCUCCGGCUGCUCUGUGCAGCGCAGGAGCUUCUGCCCACUGAGCACUUGAAACGCGGCUCAUGAAAAUGCAGAAAUGAAUUUUAAUUUUAUUGACCACCAAUUAAUUCACAGUUUUAUUUAAAUAGCCACAUGUGGCCACAGUGACUUUAUAGGACGGCACGGCUUUGGAGAGAAAUAAUCCGGCCUUGUAUUGAUAUUUACUUUCAUCUGACAAAGAAACUAACUGCAUCAGCAUUUAAUAUUCAGAGUGGGCCUGGGGCUCUCACUGAGUUGGCCUGUUGAGGGUCACUGUCGUGGGCUUUCCAGGGGCCUGGCCAGGAGGUCUCGGUCAGAGCCUAACAGUGGCUCCUGAGAGGCUUGUUCAAAAUCUCAUAAACAGCCUAGGUGCGUCUUUUACUGGAUUUGCAACUUAUCUGGUGUUAAGGAAAACUAAUCACUGCCAAGUGGAACACUGAUUUAAAAGAGAAUCCUGGAGCUCCUGUUGUGGCUCAGCAGGUUAAGGACCUGAAGUGGUCUCUGUGAGGAUGUGGGUUCAAUCCCUGGCCUCACUCAGUGGUUGCCACGAACUGUGGUAUAGUUUGCAGGUGCAGCUUGCAUCUGGUGCUGCUGUGGCUGUGCUGUAGGCCGGCAGCUGCAGCUCCCAUUUGACCCCUAGUCUGGGAACUUCCAAAUGGUGCAAGUUCGGCUCUUAAAGAAAGAAAGAAAGGGAAAAAAGAGAGAAUCCUGCUCAGAAUGGCAGAUUCACGGUCUCUUGGGUGCAGCAGACAGACGAGGGGACACCUGCUCCAAGCUGACGAAGCCACAGGAUGCAGAGUGACCAAGACUGAGUCACAGAUUUGCUCUCCCCACUGUCCAGGAUGACUCUCCCCGAAGUGUAAGUGGUGUCUUAACAUAUUGGCUAACAGUAGCAUAAAAUCACCGAGAUGAGAGAGACACUUGAGGAUC
RNAcentral lists this long non-coding RNA (2812 nucleotides) under Sus scrofa (pig). Its description in RNAcentral is "lncRNA (ENSSSCG00050077412.1)". Lineage: Eukaryota; Metazoa; Chordata; Mammalia; Artiodactyla; Suidae. The record is from RNAcentral.